GACGAACGCUGGCGGCGUGCUUAACACAUGCAAGUCGAACGGAAAGGCCCUGCUUUUGUGGGGUGCUCGAGUGGCGAACGGGUGAGUAACACGUGAGUAACCUGCCCUUGACUUUGGGAUAACUUCAGGAAACUGGGGCUAAUACCGGAUAGGAGCUCCUGCUGCAUGGUGGGGGUUGGAAAGUUUCGGCGGUUGGGGAUGGACUCGCGGCUUAUCAGCUUGUUGGUGGGGUAGUGGCUUACCAAGGCUUUGACGGGUAGCCGGCCUGAGAGGGUGACCGGCCACAUUGGGACUGAGAUACGGCCCAGACUCCUACGGGAGGCAGCAGUGGGGAAUAUUGCACAAUGGGCGGAAGCCGGAUGCAGCAACGCCGUGUGCGGGAUGACGGCCUUCGGGUUGUAAACCGCUUUCGCCUGUGACGAAGCGUGAGUGACGGUAAUGGGGAAAGAAGCACCGGCUAACUACGUGC
RNAcentral lists this ribosomal RNA (469 nucleotides) under uncultured bacterium. RNAcentral's name for it is "partial 16S ribosomal RNA". It matches the Rfam family "Bacterial small subunit ribosomal RNA", at positions 28 to 508 of the family's 1533-position model. The record is from RNAcentral.